AGAGUUUGAUCCUGGCUCAGAGCGAACGCUGGCGGCAGGCCUAACACAUGCAAGUCGAACGAGCCUUCGGGCUAGUGGCGGACGGGUGAGUAACACGUGGGAACGUACCUUUAGGUUCGGAACAACACAGGGAAACUUGUGCUAAUACCGAAUGUGCCCUUCGGGGGAAAGAUUUAUCGCCUUUAGAGCGGCCCGCGUUAGAUUAGCUAGUUGGUGAGGUAAAGGCUCACCAAGGCUACGAUCUAUAGCUGGUCUGAGAGGAUGAUCAGCCACAUUGGGACUGAGACACGGCCCAAACUCCUACGGGAGGCAGCAGUGGGGAAUCUUGCGCAAUGGUCGAAAGACUGACGCAGCCAUGCCGCGUGAAUGAUGAAGGUCUUAGGAUUGUAAAAUUCUUUCAGCAGGGACGAUAAUGACGGUACCUGCAGAAGAAGCCCCGGCUAACUUCGUGCCAGCAGCCGCGGUAAUACGAAGGGGGCUAGCGUUGCUCGGAAUUACUGGGCGUAAAGGGAGCGUAGGCGGGUUAUCAAGAUGGAGGUGAAAGCCCAGGGCUCAACCUUGGAAUUGCCUUCAAAACUGAUAGCCUAGAGUAUGAUAGAGGUAAGUGGAACUCCGAGUGUAGAGGUGAAAUUCGUAGAUAUUCGGAAGAACACCAGUGGCGAACGCGACUUACUGGAUCAUGACUGACGCUGAGGCUCGAAAGCGUGGGGAGCAACAGGAUUAGAUACCCUGUAGUCCACGCUGUAAACGAUGAUUGCUAGUUGUCAGCCGGCAUGCCGGUUGGUGACGCAGCUAACGCAUUAAGCAUCCGCCUGGGGGAGUACGGUCGCAAGAUUAA
RNAcentral lists this ribosomal RNA (838 nucleotides) under uncultured Caulobacter sp. Its description in RNAcentral is "bacterial SSU rRNA". It matches the Rfam family "Bacterial small subunit ribosomal RNA", at positions 8 to 897 of the family's 1533-position model. Lineage: Bacteria; Pseudomonadati; Pseudomonadota; Alphaproteobacteria; Caulobacterales; Caulobacteraceae. The record is from RNAcentral.